UAGCCGUAUCGGAAGGUGCGGCUGGAUCACCUCCUUUUGAGUAUGGUGAAUAUAAUUGUCUUAUCAGGCGUCCUCACAAGUUACUUGCAUUCAGGGUUUGAUGUUGGCAUAGGUUUGGGUUUAUGUUGGCGAUUUUUGUUCUGGGGGCCUUAGCUCAGCUGGUAGAGCACCUGCUUUGCAAGCAGGGGGUCGUCGGUUCGAUCCCGACAGGCUCCACCAUGAAAGUAUUUAUGGGUCUGUAGCUCAGGUGGUUAGAGCGCACCCCUGAUAAGGGUGAGGUCGGUGGUUCGAGUCCUCCCAGACCCACCAAUGUUAUAUCAAUUAUUCUGAAUGUGGUUUGCGCAUUUUUUAUGCUUAUCAGCCUUGGAACUGUGAAGCGUUCUUUUAUAAUUUGAUGAUGUAGCAAGCGUUUGAACUUUUUAUUAAUAAUUUCUCAUUGGAAGCCUUAAGUGACAAUGUUUAUCCAUUGUCUUGUAGAUUUUGAGGCGACUUUGGGUUAUAUGGUCAAGCGAAUAAGCGCAC
RNAcentral lists this unclassified non-coding RNA (522 nucleotides) under Xylella fastidiosa. Its description in RNAcentral is "partial miscellaneous RNA". The stretch from base 144 to 216 matches the Rfam family "tRNA". The record is from RNAcentral. Lineage: Bacteria; Pseudomonadati; Pseudomonadota; Gammaproteobacteria; Lysobacterales; Lysobacteraceae.